AUGCCUGUUAGUUAUACCACAUUGAGAAACUCUGAUUGGGAGUUCAUUGUAUGCAAAUAUCUGAAAAGAUUUGAAGCUUGGGUGGGCAAUGCUGCCUCCAUGGGAGGGAGACACACUCUAUUAGACUCUGUUGUCACCCAGUUAUCACUAUAUUAUAUGUCUAUGUGGUUGAUGAACAAAACGUUCAUUGAAAAACUGGAUAAGCAUAGAAGAAGAUUCUUCUGGCAAGGAUGUAACAAGAAAAAAAGAUAUUAUCUUGUGAAAUGGAGUAGAAUCUGCAGAUCCAAAGAGAAGGGUGGCCUAGGGAUUAAAGACCUGCAUAAACAGAACAUCAGUCUGAUGGUGAAAUGGUGGUGGAAGCUCGGAACACAAAGUGGGGUAUGGCAAGAUAUUAUUCGUGCUCGCUACUUGCGGAAUAGGACAGUAGCGGAUGUUGCCCCAAGGUUUUCUGACUCUCCGAGUUGGAAAGCCCUGCUGAAAGUCAAGGAAAUUUAUAUGGCUGGUAGAAAACUUAAUGUUGAGUUUGGGAACAUUGCUAGGGUGUGGAGCGAUCCUAUUAACGGACUGCUUCCUUUCAAGGAUCAAUAUCUGCAGCUCUUUAGCAUUUGUAAUGUCCCUGAGUGUACCAUUAAACAAGUGCUAAAUGUGGAGACCGAUUCCUUUUUCAGACGCAGGCUCAAUCCUGUUCUUGCU
This 693-nucleotide ribosomal RNA is filed under the name Triticum aestivum (bread wheat). RNAcentral's name for it is "partial small subunit ribosomal RNA". Lineage: Eukaryota; Viridiplantae; Streptophyta; Magnoliopsida; Poales; Poaceae. The record is from RNAcentral.